This is a non-coding RNA of Podarcis lilfordi (Lilford's wall lizard), 74 nucleotides long. NCBI's taxonomy places the organism in Eukaryota, Metazoa, Chordata, Lepidosauria, Squamata, Lacertidae. The record is from the annotation of a GenBank genome assembly.
GGUGUACUGUGGCUCAGCGAUAGAGCAUCUGCUUUGCAUGCAGAAGGCACCAGAUUCAAUCCCAGGCAUCUCCA